CUGGAAGAAAACCUUCCUGCUGAUGAAAGAAGAGGAAAGCCCAUUAUUUCACUCACUCCAGAAGCAUCAGAAGCCCUCUCCUGCCACCAUGUCCAGUGCUUGAUGCCCUGAGAAACCAAACAGCAUCUGAAGAGAGACCAACCAACAUCAUCAGCUGGGAGACAUAAAGACCAACAAAGUAAAGAGGAGAGUGAUGUGGGGGACAUCUGGAAAAUAGCAGUUUAUCAUAAAUACAGAUCAGCGAGGUGUGCAGUUCAUUCCAGACUCUCCAGAAAGCCACACAGUGGAAAGCUGCCUCCCAGUUUCUUCCCUUUUUCCACAAGACCAUGGUGAACUCGCUUAUCCAGCAGCUCAGUGAUCUUUUCUGCCAUGGGAUUGCACUGACAUGUUCCACCAAGAGUAUCUGUGUCUGCCAAAAGCAGCAAGGUGUCUCCAUGCCAGCAAACUCCUCCUGCCUGAUCAGACCUGGAGAUUUCUUGACUAAGUAAUUGAUUUUUCCAGUGCUUGUUCACAGCACAGAGGUGAGCAGGGAUUUUGUGUAUGGGGGAGGGGGGGGUGUGUAUUCACAAACCUAACUGGGAAUCUUGCUGUCAACAUCUGUUUUGAGAAAGGUCAUUUUUAGAAACAGCAUGAAAUUAGGCUCUUCAGGCUCAUGUCAGAAAUUUGGGUGCAUUAUUUAAGCAACAACCUCUGGAUUUUGUCCCCACUAAGAGCACUGCACUUUGAACAAGCUGAUGACAUGGGAUCUGGUAAUUACAGGUGGCUCCUCCCUGUGCAGGGAGGCCUGGAUGUCCCCAGCAUUGUCCCUGCCCUCUGCCCAUGAACUUGUGCUGGACAGUGCCUGCAAGCAGCUGCUGAGAGUGGCUGUGCCUGAGGCAAGGGAUCAGCACAGAGCUCAUCCUUCAGUCCUUGGGGCUCAGUUCUUCUCCAGGAUUCUGGUGAGGAGUUCAUUCAGCCGGUUCACCAUUGGCCUGGGAUCCUCAUUCAGUCCUG
Taeniopygia guttata (zebra finch) is the source of this 993-nucleotide non-coding RNA. Lineage: Eukaryota; Metazoa; Chordata; Aves; Passeriformes; Estrildidae. The record is from RefSeq and is a predicted model, not a curated record.